GCGCAGCGGUGUUUGGCUUCUUGGCGGGGCCCCGCAGCUUAGUGGCUUCCUGGCUUUUGGCUUCCGGGUUCUGUGUCCAUCGUUUCUGCGGCAAGAGGUUGGGGUCCUGGCUGUUCACAGCCUCUCCUCGCUGUCCCCCAUCCUGCCAAGCCUGGCUGCAGCCUCCGAAGACACUCUCCGAGACCUUGGGUCUGGACCGUGUCUGCUGUGCUGUGCCACAUGUCAAGUUGAUAAGGAAAAGAGAAAAAGAGUGAUGCCUGCAUAGAAACAAAUGGUCAGUUCUUUUGAGGUAAGAGAGUAUCCAUGGUGUCAUCCCCAGAUCUUUCCUGUAAAUACCUGCCUUUUGGGGUAAGUUCCUGUCCUUGCGGUUCCAAAACGC
Long non-coding RNA from Talpa occidentalis (Iberian mole), 379 nucleotides. RefSeq lists it as uncharacterized. The record is from RefSeq and is a predicted model, not a curated record. Lineage: Eukaryota; Metazoa; Chordata; Mammalia; Eulipotyphla; Talpidae. The transcript is spliced from 4 exons.